CGUCGAGCGGCGGACGGGUGAGUAAUGCCUAGGAAAUUGCCCUGAUGUGGGGGAUAACCAUUGGAAACGAUGGCUAAUACCGCAUGAUGCCUACGGGCCAAAGAGGGGGACCUUCGGGCCUCUCGCGUCAGGAUAUGCCUAGGUGGGAUUAGCUAGUUGGUGAGGUAAGGGCUCACCAAGGCGACGAUCCCUAGCUGGUCUGAGAGGAUGAUCAGCCACACUGGAACUGAGACACGGUCCAGACUCCUACGGGAGGCAGCAGUGGGGAAUAUUGCACAAUGGGCGCAAGCCUGAUGCAGCCAUGCCGCGUGUGUGAAGAAGGCCUUCGGGUUGUAAAGCACUUUCAGUCGUGAGGAAGGUAGUGUAGUUAAUAGCUGCAUUAUUUGACGUUAGCGACAKAAGAAGCACCGGCUAACUCCKUGCCANCAGCCGCGGUAAUACGGAGGGUGCGAGCGUUAAUCGGAAUUACUGGGCGUAAAGCGCAUGCAGGUGGUUUGUUAAGUCAGAUGUGAAAGCCCGGGGCUCAACCUCGGAAUUGCAUUUGAAACUGGCAGACUAGAGUACUGUAGAGGGGGGUAGAAUUUCAGGUGUAGCGGUGAAAUGCGUAGAGAUCUGAAGGAAUACCGGUGGCGAAGGCGGCCCCCUGGACAGAUACUGACACUCAGAUGCGAAAGCGUGGGGAGCAAACAGGAUUAGAUACCCUGGUAGUCCACGCCGUAAACGAUGUCUACUUGGAGGUUGUGGCCUUGAGCCGUGGCUUUCGGAGCUAACGCGUUAAGUAGACCGCCUGGGGAGUACGGUCGCAAGAUUAAAACUCAAAUGAAUUGACGGGGGCCCGCACAAGCGGUGGAGCAUGUGGUUUAAUUCGAUGCAACGCGAAGAACCUUACCUACUCUUGACAUCCAGAGAACUUUCCAGAGAUGGAUUGGUGCCUUCGGGAACUCUGAGACAGGUGCUGCAUGGCUGUCGUCAGCUCGUGUUGUGAAAUGUUGGGUUAAGUCCCGCAACGAGCGCAACCCUUAUCCUUGUUUGCCAGCGAGUAAUGUCGGGAACUCCAGGGAGACUGCCGGUGAUAAACCGGAGGAAGGUGGGGACGACGUCAAGUCAUCAUGGCCCUUACGAGUAGGGCUACACACGUGCUACAAUGGCGCAUACAGAGGGCGGCCAACUUGCGAAAGUGAGCGAAUCCCAAAAAGUGCGUCGUAGUCCGGAUUGGAGUCUGCAACUCGACUCCAUGAAGUCGGAAUCGCUAGUAAUCGUGGAUCAGAAUGCCACGGUGAAUACGUUCCCGGGCCUUGUACACACCGCCCGUCACACCAUGGGAGUGGGCUGC
RNAcentral lists this ribosomal RNA (1333 nucleotides) under Vibrio sp. SW004.04. Its description in RNAcentral is "bacterial SSU rRNA". It matches the Rfam family "Bacterial small subunit ribosomal RNA", at positions 89 to 1418 of the family's 1533-position model. Lineage: Bacteria; Pseudomonadati; Pseudomonadota; Gammaproteobacteria; Vibrionales; Vibrionaceae. The record is from RNAcentral.